This 774-nucleotide ribosomal RNA is filed under the name uncultured Neocallimastigales. Its description in RNAcentral is "partial large subunit ribosomal RNA". It matches the Rfam family "Eukaryotic large subunit ribosomal RNA", at positions 24 to 620 of the family's 3401-position model. Lineage: Eukaryota; Fungi; Neocallimastigomycota; Neocallimastigomycetes; Neocallimastigales. The record is from RNAcentral.
UAUGUGAUCGUCUCUCGCAUAUCAAUAAGCGGAGGAAAAGAAACUAACAAGGAUUCCCUUAGUAACGGCGAGUGAAGCGGGAAGAGCUCAAAUUUGAAAUCUUCAAGGUUUUACCUUGACGAAUUGUAGUUUAAAGAAGUGUUUUCUGUUGAGGUUUUGGUAAAAGUUCUUUGGAAUAGGACAUCAUAGAGGGUGAGAAUCCCGUAUUUGACCAUUAUUUUCAGCUGUGUGAUACACUUUCAAAGAGUCGGAUUGUUUGGGAAUGCAGUCCAAAAUGGGUGGUAAAUUUCAUCUAAAGCUAAAUAUUGGCGAGAGACCGAUAGCGAACAAGUACCGUGAGGGAAAGAUGAAAAGAACUUUGAAAAGAGAGUUAAACAGUACGUGAAAUUGUCAAAAGGGAAGCGUUUGACACCAGCGUUGUUUUCUCGAAAAUCAAUUAGAAAGAGUUAGAUUUUGUUGUGUAUUGACCUUAACAGCUUGCAUUUCAAUUUUCUUGCUUUUUUUAAUGCACUUUUCGUUUAACAAGUCAACAACAGUUUCUUUUGUUGUAAAAAGGUCAUUGGAAGGUGGCUUUCUUUUCGGAGAAAGUGUUUAUAGCCUUUGACUCCUGCAAUCGGAGAGACUGAGGUCUGCAGCGUAGAUCCUUCGGGGUUAGAUACAUUUGUGCUAAGUUAUAGCUUUUUAUAGACAACUUGUUGACUAUGAUUAGUCUUGUAGCUUACUCGCUUAUGCUAUUUUACCUACGCUUAGGAUGUUGAAGAUGUAGCACAUCAU